Non-coding RNA from Vicugna pacos (alpaca), 875 nucleotides. NCBI's taxonomy places the organism in Eukaryota, Metazoa, Chordata, Mammalia, Artiodactyla, Camelidae. The record is from RefSeq and is a predicted model, not a curated record.
UUUUAGGUCUCUAGAUUUUUAAAGGUCUUCACUGAACAGUUUUGCCAGGAGAACAUGCCAAAGGGCUGAUGACUCUGAAUUUGAGUCGGUUCUCAAAAGUGAUUCAAUAACCUGGAUUCCAACGGCCUGAAUACAAAACCCAGGACACAGGAAAUGCACAGGAGUUGAGAAUACGGAGGAGGAGGUGGGAGCGUGUGGUGCCUCUUGGCUCCAGGGUGGGUUUCGGUGGAAUCACCCCAGCAGCCAGGGAUGCUCUUGUUGCUCUCAUCAUCCCCGCGGUCCUCCCCUGGUCCAGACCUUUCAUUUCCCACCCUCGCCCAGAUGAGCCGGGCUGGAGGCUUUCUCUAGCCAGACUGUGCACCUUUGGAGGAAGGAGGUCCAGUCCUAUCUGUUGUAUGUUCUCCAAACCUGGAAUCACAACAGCACUGGUGAUGAUGGUGAUGGUGAUGGUGAUGGUGAUGGUGACGAUGGACGUGAACACUCAUAGAGCGCUAACCACGUGCCAGCCAUUGUUCUAAGCAGUUCAUAUGUUUUCACUUGUUAAUCUUUACAACAAUCCUAUGAGGCAGCUUCUGUUAUUUCACUCAUUUCACAAAUGAUAAAACCAAGACCUAUGAUGGUUAAAUAGUGCUCGAAAGACUGAGUAACAAGAACACACAGCCUUUGAAUGCUGGGACUGCUGGUGGACAAACUCAGCAUUUUGACUCUGUCCUUUCUCUGGCAGGGAGUCAACAAACGAUUUUUUCACGAAUGAAUGAAUGCAUGGACUGGGGAAGGAAUCUGAAACAAAUGCCAUCUACAAAUGGUGUAGAUAGUUUUUUUUUUUUUGUCCCUGAAAUAAACAGAGACUAUAUCUUGUUCUCAAAUCUUAGUCU